Molecule: ribosomal RNA, 590 nt
Filed under: uncultured Burkholderia sp.
Lineage: Bacteria; Pseudomonadati; Pseudomonadota; Betaproteobacteria; Burkholderiales; Burkholderiaceae
Description: bacterial SSU rRNA
Rfam family: Bacterial small subunit ribosomal RNA
Source: RNAcentral
UCGGGUUGUAAAGCACUUUUGUCCGGAAAGAAAACAUCCUGGCUAAUACCUGGGGUGGAUGACGGUACCGGAAGAAUAAGCACCGGCUAACUACGUGCCAGCAGCGCGGUAAUCGUAGGAUGCGAGCGUUAAUCGGAAUUACUGGGCGUAAAGCGUGCGCAGGCGGUUCGCUAAGACCGAUGUGAAAUCCCCGGGCUUAACCUGGGAACUGCAUUGGUGACUGGCGGGCUAGAGUAUGGCAGAGGGGGGUAGAAUUCCACGUGUAGCAGUGAAAUGCGUAGAGAUGUGGAGGAAUACCGAUGGCGAAGGCAGCCCCCUGGGCCAAUACUGACGCUCAUGCACGAAAGCGUGGGGAGCAAACAGGAUUAGAUACCCUGGUAGUCCACGCCCUAAACGAUGUCAACUAGUUGUUGGGGAUUCAUUUCCUUAGUAACGUAGCUAACGCGUGAAGUUGACCGCCUGGGGAGUACGGUCGCAAGAUUAAAACUCAAAGGAAUUGACGGGGACCCGCACAAGCGGUGGAUGAUGUGGAUUAAUUCGAUGCAACGCGAAAAACCUUACCUACCCUUGACAUGGACGGAAUCCUGGUG